RNAcentral lists this ribosomal RNA (1211 nucleotides) under Mendozana platypleura. RNAcentral describes it as "16S ribosomal RNA". The stretch from base 798 to 1159 matches the Rfam family "Bacterial large subunit ribosomal RNA", at positions 2075 to 2645 of the family's 2925-position model. The record is from RNAcentral. Lineage: Eukaryota; Metazoa; Arthropoda; Insecta; Hemiptera; Cicadidae.
GCUUAUUCUAUGAUAAUAUUUUAUAUUACAUGAUUAUUUAAAUUAAUUUUUCUGUUUUAGUAUUAUUAUGAAAUAAUUUAUUGUUUUGACUGAAGGGGGAGAAUUGAUCCAAGCACACUAAAGUAAAAUUAUGUUUUGUACCUUUUGUAUCAGGGUAAGUUAAUUAAAUUUAUAAAUAUAUAUAUCCCGAAAGAGAAUGAUUUAAAUUAUAUUGUUAGUUAUUGUAACAUAAAUAUUAACAAAUAUAUUAUGGAAAUGAAACUUUAACGAAUUUUCUGAUAUCUGGUUUCUCAAUAAAUAAAUUUAAUUUAGGAAAAUUAAUAUAUGUCAUUAAUAAUUAACAUUUAAUUUUCUAAUUAUGGGGGGGAUAAGCUCUCUAUAAUGACAAUAAAUUUAAUCAUUAAAUAUAUAAUAGGCUUAAAACCAGCCAUUUUUGAUUAAGUUAAAUUUCAAUUUUUAUUAUGCGCUAUUUUAUUAGAUUUUUGUUCGACAUUGAGAAUUGAAGACUAAUUAAUUAUUUUAACUAUAAUGAUUUAAUAAGUAAAAUUUGGAAUUAAUAAUUAUGAAUUCGGCAAAUGUAAUUUCCACCUGUUUAUCAAAAACGUGUCUUUUAGAAAUAAAUUGAAAGUCUGGUCUGCCCAAUGAUUAUUGAAUGGCCGCGGUAACCUGACCGUGCAAAGGUAGCAUAAUAAUUAGUCUUUUAAUUGGAGGCUUGUAUGAAUGAUUGGAUGAGAAAUUAUCUUUAUUAUUAAUAACAUUUGAAUUUAAUCUUUAAGUCAAAAAGCUUAACUGUUCAUGUGGGACGAGAAGACCCUAUAGAGUUUUAGAAAGUUAAUUAUUAAUUAUUUUUGGAUUCCUAUUAUUUAAUAGAUAAUUAAUUUUCUUAUGUUGGGGUGAUAUUGAAAUAUAAUUAACUUUCAAUUAAUUUGACAUUAAUUAGUGUUUAUUGAUCCUAGAUUAAGAAUGUAAGAAAAAAUUACCUUAGGGAUAACAGCGUAAUUAAAUUGGAGAGUUCAAAUCGAUAAUUUAGAUUGCGACCUCGAUGUUGGAUUAAGAAAAAUUUCUGGGGCAAGUUUCAGAAAAUUUGGGUCUGUUCGACCUUUAAACUCUUACAUGAUCUGAGUUCAGACCGGCGUGAGCCAGGUUGGUUUCUAUCUACAUUUAAUUUUUUAGUAUUAGUACGAAAGGACCAUAUUAAAUAAUUUUAUUAU